Molecule: transfer RNA, 73 nt
Filed under: Stegodyphus mimosarum
Lineage: Eukaryota; Metazoa; Arthropoda; Arachnida; Araneae; Eresidae
Rfam family: tRNA
About the family: Transfer RNA (tRNA) molecules are approximately 80 nucleotides in length. Their secondary structure includes four short double-helical elements and three loops (D, anti-codon, and T loops).
Source: Rfam by way of RNAcentral
GCCUUCAUUGUGCAGUGGUCAGUACGCUCGGCGCGUAACCGAAAGGUCCGUGGUUCGAGUCCCGGCGAGGGCA